RNAcentral lists this ribosomal RNA (513 nucleotides) under Triticum aestivum (bread wheat). Its description in RNAcentral is "partial small subunit ribosomal RNA". The record is from RNAcentral. Lineage: Eukaryota; Viridiplantae; Streptophyta; Magnoliopsida; Poales; Poaceae.
AUGGCCGCGGUUCUUCCUGCGCUGCUGCCAACCCCACCGUCGGCCCCAAUCGCUACGUUGCUCAAGACACCGCGGACGGACGGGAAGCCUGGCCGUGCGUCGGCGAGCCGGAGAUGGAUAGAUAACAGAUUUAUGAUUCUGGCCGCCGCGUCGGACUUGACCGGCGGUGAGCGCGUCGGACGCGUGCUGUCGGAGAUGAGCGGAGGCGAGCGAGUCAAACGCGUGGCAUCGGACAUGGGCGGCGGCGACCGUGCCGGACGCGUGGCAUUGGGCAUGGGCGGCGGUGACCGCGCCGGUCGCGAGGAGUCCCGAACCAGCUGGAGCGCUGUCAAGAGGCCUGCGAGCCGCGCCCCUUCCACUGACCGGUGUGACAAGAAGCCCAAGGCUCCGGUCGACAAGGAAGCUGCUCCGGAGGCAGAGCAACUGUUCGCUGGUCCGACGUUCAUGAGCGUGGUGCCCCCGGAUCCCAGCGAGCUCCCGAUCCCUUGCUACUUCAUGAAGAAGGCCCGCUAG